RNAcentral lists this small RNA (1005 nucleotides) under Pan troglodytes (chimpanzee). RNAcentral's name for it is "retained intron". The record is from RNAcentral. Lineage: Eukaryota; Metazoa; Chordata; Mammalia; Primates; Hominidae.
GUCAUCGCGGGCGCGACGCCUGAGGGACAGGCUGGGGUUUGGCUGUCCGGAAGGUGCAGCGGCGAGGCCGGCCGCGAAGAUGCCAGUGGCGGUGAUGGCGGAAAGCGCCUUUAGUUUCAAAAAGUUGCUGGAUCAGUGCGAGAACCAGGAGCUCGAGGCCCCUGGAGGAAUUGCUACACCCCCAGUGUAUGGUCAGCUUCUAGCUUUAUAUUUGCUCCAUAAUGACAUGAAUAAUGCAAGAUAUCUUUGGAAAAGAAUACCACCUGCUAUAAAAUCUGCAAAUUCUGAACUUGGGGGAAUUUGGUCAGUAGGACAAAGAAUCUGGCAGAGAGAUUUCCCUGGGAUCUAUACAACAAUCAACGCUCACCAGUGGUCUGAGACGGUCCAGCCAAUUAUGGAAGCACUUAGAGGUGUGGUCCUGUAUUAGAGACCUUUUUGAAAAGGACAGCUGAUUACGCAAAUCAGUUUUCUGCUCCUUUGAUUCCAGCAUUUGUAAAUGAAAUAAGAUAAGUAAAAUUUAUAUCCCCAUUGCAUAAACAUACUGCAUUUUCUUAGGGUUAGAGCCUUGUGUUUAGUAACCUUUUUCCAUCUUUGUAAUUUUCAUUAUCUGAGAUUUUUCAUCCAAGAGGAAGAGUAAGAAAUGUAUUUUUUUCCAGCAAUAUUUGAACCCCCCUUACAUACUGGGCAUAUAUAUUUGUAUCUAUAAGCACAGAAAUCUUUGGGUUCAUCUGGCCUUGCUUAUGAAAACUGAACAAGGACAGUGGUGUGAUUUAACAAUGUGCUUUGAAAAUGCUGCUCCCUGGUUCACUCUCUGCCAACCCACCACUCCCACAAUAGAUGCAACAAGGAGACGCGCCUUUGCCCUGGUCUCUCAAGCAUAUACUUCAAUCAUCGCCGAUGAUUUUGCAGCCUUUGUUGGACUUCCUGUAGAAGAGGCUGUGAAAGGCAUAUUAGAACAAGGAUGGCAAGCUGAUUCCACCACAAGAAUGGUUCUGCCCAGAAAGC